Molecule: small nuclear RNA, 291 nt
Filed under: Microcebus murinus (gray mouse lemur)
Lineage: Eukaryota; Metazoa; Chordata; Mammalia; Primates; Cheirogaleidae
Description: 7SK RNA (ENSMICG00000023261.3)
Rfam family: 7SK RNA
About the family: 7SK was discovered as an abundant small nuclear RNA in the mid-70s but a possible function has only recently been suggested. Two independent studies have found that 7SK RNA binds the CDK9/cyclin T complex (known as elongation factor P-TEFb).
Source: RNAcentral
GGAUGCCAGGGCAAUCUGGCUAUCUGUCACCCUAUUGAUUGCCAGGGUUGAUUCCGCCAUUCUGGCUGGCUGGGUGGGUGUCCCCUUCCUCCCUCACCUCUCCAAGUGUGUCCCUUCCGAAGCUGCAUGCUCAGCUGAAGAGGACACUUUUCCUGAUAGAGGAGGACUGUUCUUCAGUUAAGGGUUUACAAGUAGUGUGCUCUCCUGCUAGAACCUCCAAACAAGUUCUCAAGAUAUGCUCGUUGGUACUCUUUAAUUUAAAAAUACAAAUAAAAAGUAUGUCAAAAAUUU